This is a non-coding RNA of Suricata suricatta (meerkat), 1007 nucleotides long. Lineage: Eukaryota; Metazoa; Chordata; Mammalia; Carnivora; Herpestidae. The record is from the annotation of a RefSeq genome assembly.
AUGGUCGGAAAGUUGACGUAUUAUAUGUUCUAUGACAGUACAGUUGGCAAGUUGCGGCAGGGCAGGAAGGUGCUCUUUGCAAAGGAGGAAGAACUCUCCAGAAGAGCCUAUCCAGAAUUCAGAAUCAGAAUAGAGCAACCCCUUAUGAGUUUUGGUAUAUUCAGGGGUACAAAGCCAUUUUCUUUUCCCACACCUCAAACAGCCAUGCUUUCUGCUUUUUGCUCAAUGCUUGUGGUGGUCCUGCUUGUAAUUCUCAGAGGGACCCAUGGAGACUCAGUGACCCAGACAGAAGGCCCUGUUACUCUCCUUGAGGGGACGCCUUUGACCCUGAACUGCACUUACCAGAGUGGCUCUACAGUUUUUGUUUUCUGGUAUGUCCAGUACCGAAACAAAGAGCCUGAGUUCCUGCUUAACAGCGUAUCAGAAAACCGGAGGACAGAGCAUCACGGUUUUCAGGCCAGUCUUGUCACGAGCGACAGCUCCUUCCACCUGCAGAAACGCUCUGUGCGAGUGUCAGACUCGGCUGUGUACUACUGCGUCCCUGACCAGGAAACAGAGAAAUGAGUCCCUCACUGUAAACUGGGCACACUCUCUGGCAAUGAGUGCCUAAUUGGCUUAAGGAUACUCAGAGAAGACCCUGGGAACCACAGAGGUGACCUAUGACUUCAGCUGGGCUGUGAUGAUUUAUAAAGAGAGGGAUGAGAAAACCUAGGAAACAUUCUCUACAAUGCUUGUGGGUGUGAUUCCUGAUUCAUUCUGGUUUCAGGAAAGUCGACUAUGAUAUGACCUGCAGGUACUCUGGCAGGUGUAAGGAUCACCCAGAUCAGCAUCAAGGACACAGCAGAAGAAAAGGAACUGACUAGGCCCUGAACUUAACACCCCCUUGUAGAAAUGAGAAACCAAAUCUGCCAUCAUUAAUCAAGGAUCAGUGGUGGACAGAGCUGGAGUAUUAUGCUAAGUCAAAUAAGUCAGUCAGAGAAAGACAAAUACCAUAUGAUUUCACUCCU